This 483-nucleotide ribosomal RNA is filed under the name uncultured bacterium. Its description in RNAcentral is "partial 16S ribosomal RNA". It matches the Rfam family "Bacterial small subunit ribosomal RNA", at positions 30 to 506 of the family's 1533-position model. The record is from RNAcentral.
AUUGAACGCUGGCGGCAGGCCUAACACAUGCAAGUCGAGCGGAUGAAGGGAGCUUGCUCCUGGAUUCAGCGGCGGACGGGUGAGUAAUGCCUAGGAAUCUGCCUGGUAGUGGGGGAUAACGUCCGGAAACGGGCGCUAAUACCGCAUACGUACUGAGGGAGAAAGUGGGGGAUCUUCGGACCUCACGCUAUCAGAUGAGCCUAGGUCGGAUUAGCUAGUUGGUGGGGUAAAGGCCUACCAAGGCGACGAUCCGUAACUGGUCUGAGAGGAUGAUCAGUCACACUGGAACUGAGACACGGUCCAGACUCCUACGGGAGGCAGCAGGGGGGAAUAUUGGACGAUGGGCGAAAGCCUGAUCCAGCCAUGCCGCGUGUGUGAAGAAGGUCUUCGGAUUGUAAAGCACUUUAAGUUGGGAGGAAGAGCAGUAAGUUAAUACCUUGCUGUUUUGACGUUACCAACAGAAUAAGCACCGGCUAGCUUCGU